AACGAACGCUGGCGGCGCGCCUAAUACAUGCAAGUCGAGCGAGAAGGUGUAGCAAUACACUUGUAAAGCGGCGAACGGGUGAGGAAUACAUGGGUAAUCUACCAUCGAGUGGGGAAUAACCAACCGAAAGGUUGGCUAAUACCGCGUACGCCUCCGAAUCUUCGGGUUCGGAGGGAAAGCUGCACUGUGAGUGUAGCGCUCUUUGAUGAGCUCAUGUCCUAUCAGCUUGUUGGUAGGGUAACGGCCUACCAAGGCUUUGACGGGUAGCUGGUCUGAGAGGACGAUCAGCCACACUGGCACUGCGACACGGGCCAGACUCCUACGGGAGGCAGCAGUAAGGAAUAUUGCGCAAUGGGCGAAAGCCUGACGCAGCGACGCCGCGUGGGGGAUGAAGGUCUUCGGAUUGUAAACCCCUUUCGGGAGGGAAGAUGGAGCGAGCAAUCGUUCGGACGGUACCUCCAGAAGCAGCCACGGCCAACUUCGUGCCAGCA
This 491-nucleotide ribosomal RNA is filed under the name uncultured bacterium. RNAcentral's name for it is "bacterial SSU rRNA". It matches the Rfam family "Bacterial small subunit ribosomal RNA", at positions 29 to 513 of the family's 1533-position model. The record is from RNAcentral.